CGAACGCUGGCGGCGCGCCUAACACAUGCACGUCGAACGGAGCUGAGAGAAGCUUGCUUUUCUUAGCUUAGUGGCGAACGGGUGAGUAACGCGUGAGUAACCUGCCCUGGAGUGGGGGACAACAGUUGGAAACGACUGCUAAUACCGCAUAAGCCCACGAUCCGGCAUCGGAUUGAGGGAAAAGGAUUUAUUCGCUUCAGGAUGGACUCGCGUCCAAUUAGCUAGUUGGUGAGGUAACGGCCCACCAAGGCGACGAUUGGUAGCCGGACUGAGAGGUUGAACGGCCACAUUGGGACUGAGACACGGCCCAGACUCCUACGGGAGGCAGCAGUGGGGGAUAUUGCACAAUGGGGGAAACCCUGAUGCAGCGACGCCGCGUGGAGGAAGAAGGUUUUCGGAUUGUAAACUCCUGUCGUUAGGGACGAUAAUGACGGUACCUAACAAGAAAGCACCGGCUAACUACGUG
This 466-nucleotide ribosomal RNA is filed under the name uncultured bacterium. RNAcentral's name for it is "partial 16S ribosomal RNA". It matches the Rfam family "Bacterial small subunit ribosomal RNA", at positions 30 to 507 of the family's 1533-position model. The record is from RNAcentral.